GUGAUAUUAUGGAAGGAAAAUUAACUAUAGAUGAAUGUACAGAUUCACUAUUUAAGAUGAAAUUGAACAAAUCACCUGGAAUUGAUGGUUUAAGCGUAGAAUUUUAUAGAACAUUUUGGGAAGAAUUAAAAGAAUUCAUUGUAUCCACAUUUAAUUUUUCAUAUAAAAAAGGGGAGCUAACAACUUCUCAGAAAUUAGGAGUUAUCUCUCUUAUCCAUAAAAAAAAUGAUCCACUGAGUUUAGAUAACUAUAGACCCAUAACUUUAUUAAAUGUAGAUACAAAAUUAAUAGCAUAUUCAUUAGCUCAGCGCAUUAAAAAUGUCUUACCAAAAAUUAUCCAUGAAGAUCAAAAUGGGUAUGUAAAAAAUAGAUAUAUAGGUUAUAACAUCAGACAGAUCCAGGAUAUAAUUGAUUAUGCAGAAAAAUUUAAUAUAGAAGGAGCAUUAUU
This 448-nucleotide long non-coding RNA is filed under the name Mytilus galloprovincialis (Mediterranean mussel). The record is from RNAcentral. Lineage: Eukaryota; Metazoa; Mollusca; Bivalvia; Mytilida; Mytilidae.